RNAcentral lists this long non-coding RNA (293 nucleotides) under Glycine max (soybean). RNAcentral's name for it is "long non-coding RNA (GMAX_LNC001112)". Lineage: Eukaryota; Viridiplantae; Streptophyta; Magnoliopsida; Fabales; Fabaceae. The record is from RNAcentral.
ACAAAUUGAACACAACAGUUUUCAAAAGAAGGUAACUUCAGAGCACAUUUAGGAAGAAUGUCUCCAGCUUCAUUGUUCAUUGUUCUGGAAUUUCUUGGCCUUGAUAGACUCCAAAAAGAUGCUAUUGAAAUUAGCAUUCUCGAUCCAAUAUAAGAAUCCUGCUUCCAAAGGCGCUGGAAUGCCAUUAAACCAAGCUUUGUAGCUGUGACGACAAAAGAGGCCAUUGCUAUCCCUGAUACAUGCUGCUACAUCGAACUUCUGAUCUUCCUGGAAAAUGGCAGCAUCCGUGUUGC